RNAcentral lists this long non-coding RNA (1241 nucleotides) under Ananas comosus (pineapple). RNAcentral describes it as "long non-coding RNA (ACOM_LNC020912)". Lineage: Eukaryota; Viridiplantae; Streptophyta; Magnoliopsida; Poales; Bromeliaceae. The record is from RNAcentral.
CCAAGGGAAAAGCUCGACCAAUAGGUCCAAAGAGGCACUGUAAUCAUGUUAGUCCAAAAAUAUCUACCGAUAUAUAUAUCAUCAUGUUAUGAUGCAACUAACAGAUAACAUGCCUCACAAUAUGUAAUAUGAACAUUAUGCAAUUCCUGUAACUCAUGCAAGUAGAUCAGUUAAUUCUACUCAUUAUUCUUAAUCAUUCUUUAUUCUUAGCCAUUCUUUAUCGCUAAUCGUUCUUUUCCAUAUUAGUUGUCCUUUAGUAUUUGCUAUUCUUUAACAUUAGCCAUUCUUUACUAUUUAUUCUCUACUAUUACUAAGGGCACUCGCACCUUAGCCAUAUUAUAUAUAUAUGUCAUUCUUUCCUAAGGUUACUUUACCUUAGCCAACUAUGACAUUCGACUCGGUCUUGAGUCAAUCAACUGCGGAUAAUCCGCUCUUUGCCCGGCUCGAGGUGAAGGAACUCUCACACACACCUCAGCCUUCAAUCCACAUACUACAUCGCCCAACGGGUCGCCCAGAGCUGCGUACACUCGUGGUCAGGGAUCUUCCCGGUGGGAGAGGAAUAUGCCACAUGCACCCGCGGCCCAAGACCCCCGAUAGGGAGGGGAAUAUGCCACACGCACCCUAGCGAACUAAGAUUCCUGCUCAAUCUCAAGCCUCGCAGUUCUCCCGGUGGGAGGGAAAUAUGCCACACGCACCCGCGGCCAAGAACUGUCGAGCUCAUAUGCUGCACUAGCAGCCGCUGCACUCGCAGCCGGAAUUCCGGAAUCCAUAUUACAUAACUCAAGGGUUGGUCUCACCCUAUAUUAUCGACCUAUCUAGGUCCAAGUCUUUGUUCAACCUAAGUUAAUACUUUAGGUUCGAUGUCGAUAUGUUCAUAGCCUAGGUUCAUUAACACUAGGUCCAAUGUCAUUUUCCUUCUAGGUCCACUUGACCCUAGGUUCAAUGUCGCUAUAUUCAUAACCUAGGUUUACUUGACUCUAGGUUCAAUUCUCAACCUAAGUUCAAUACAUUAGGUUUAAUGCCACCCUUGACCAACCUAUGUUUAUUAACACUAGGUUAAAUGCCACUCAAUCUUUCCUAGGUUCACAACACUAGGUUUAUAUCAUUCAUGUUCAACCUAUGUUCAAGACACUAGGUUAAAUGCCACUCGAUCUAAUAUACAUAGAUUGUCCAAUCGAGCCUUACACAUUAGUAUUUUUCCUUUGCCAUGUUCUCUACUCACUCUAGAGCUAACAAUCCAG